This 400-nucleotide ribosomal RNA is filed under the name Sarocladium strictum. RNAcentral describes it as "partial small subunit ribosomal RNA". It matches the Rfam family "Eukaryotic small subunit ribosomal RNA", at positions 30 to 432 of the family's 1831-position model. The record is from RNAcentral. Lineage: Eukaryota; Fungi; Ascomycota; Sordariomycetes; Hypocreales; Sarocladiaceae.
GCUUGUCUCAAAGAUUAAGCCAUGCAUGUCUAAGUAUAAACAACUUUAUACUGUGAAACUGCGUACAGCUCAUUAUAUCAGUUAUAAUUUAUUUGAUGGUGAUUUACUACAUGGAUAACCGUGGUAAUUCUAGAGCUAAUACAUGCGUAAGAUCCUGACUAACGAAGGGGUGUAUUUAUUAGAUACAAAACCAAUGCCCUUCGGGGCUCCUUGGUGAUUCAUGAUAACUAUACGAAUCGCACGGCCUUGCGCCGGCGAUGGUUCAUUCAAAUUUCUUCCCUAUCAACUUUCGAUGUUUGGGUAUUGGCCAAACAUGGUUGCAACGGGUAACGGAGGGUUAGGGCUCGACCCCGGAGAAGGAGCCUGAGAAACGGCUACUACAUCCAAGGAAGGCAGCAGG